UACGUAGGGGGCAAGCGUUGUCCGGAGUACUGGCGUAAAGCGCACGCAGGCGGUCUUUUAAGUUUGGAGUGACAGUUGGUGGCUUAACUGCCAAAGUGCUUCGAAAACUGAAAGACUUGAGGGCUUCAGAGGGACACGGAAUUCCGGGGUGGAGUGGUGAAAUGCGUAGAGAUCCGGAGGAACACCAAAGGCGAAGGCAGUGUCCC
RNAcentral lists this ribosomal RNA (206 nucleotides) under uncultured bacterium. RNAcentral's name for it is "partial 16S ribosomal RNA". It matches the Rfam family "Bacterial small subunit ribosomal RNA", at positions 524 to 730 of the family's 1533-position model. The record is from RNAcentral.